RNAcentral lists this ribosomal RNA (233 nucleotides) under uncultured bacterium. Its description in RNAcentral is "partial 16S ribosomal RNA". It matches the Rfam family "Bacterial small subunit ribosomal RNA", at positions 524 to 752 of the family's 1533-position model. The record is from RNAcentral.
UACGUAGGGUGCAGGCGUUAAUCGGAAUUACUGGGCGUAAAGCGUGCGCAGGCGGUUGUGCAAGACAGAUGUGAAAUCCCCGGGCUUAACCUGGGAACUGCGUUUGAAACUACAAGGCUAGAGUGUGGCAGAGGGGGGUGGAAGUUCCACGUGUAGCAGUGGAAAUGACGUAGAGAUGUGGAGGAACACCGAUGGCGAAGGCAGCCCCCUGGGUCAAAACUGGACGCUCAUGC